AGAAUCAACGCUGGCGGCGUGCCUAACACAUGCAAGUCGCACGAGAAAGGGGAGCAAUCCCUGAGUAAAGUGGCGCACGGGUGAGUAACACGUGAAUAAUCUACCUCCGAGUGGGGAAUAACUGAGAGAAAUCUUAGCUAAUACCGCAUAACACUUACGAGUCAAGGCAGCAAUGCGCUUGGAGAGGAGUUCGCGGCCGAUUAGUUAGUUGGCGGGGUAAUGGCCCACCAAGACGAUGAUCGGUA
This 245-nucleotide ribosomal RNA is filed under the name uncultured bacterium. Its description in RNAcentral is "partial small subunit ribosomal RNA". It matches the Rfam family "Bacterial small subunit ribosomal RNA", at positions 26 to 285 of the family's 1533-position model. The record is from RNAcentral.